GGCCCCGUAGCUCAACUGAAUAGAGCAUUUGACUACGGAUCAGAAGGUUUCAGGUUUGAACCCUGACGGGGUCA
RNAcentral lists this transfer RNA (74 nucleotides) under Cryomorphaceae bacterium BACL7 MAG-120910-bin2. RNAcentral's name for it is "tRNA-Arg". It matches the Rfam family "tRNA". Rfam says of the family: Transfer RNA (tRNA) molecules are approximately 80 nucleotides in length. The record is from RNAcentral. RNAcentral also lists the same sequence under 3 other names. Lineage: Bacteria; Pseudomonadati; Bacteroidota; Flavobacteriia; Flavobacteriales; Cryomorphaceae.